Molecule: transfer RNA, 75 nt
Filed under: Bacillus thuringiensis serovar thuringiensis str. IS5056
Lineage: Bacteria; Bacillati; Bacillota; Bacilli; Caryophanales; Bacillaceae
Description: tRNA-Lys
Rfam family: tRNA
About the family: Transfer RNA (tRNA) molecules are approximately 80 nucleotides in length. Their secondary structure includes four short double-helical elements and three loops (D, anti-codon, and T loops).
Source: RNAcentral
GAGCCAUUAGCUCAGUUGGAAGAGCAUCUGACUUUUUAAUCAGAAGGGUCGAAGGUUCGAAUCCUUCUGGGCUCA